AUUUUUUUUUUUUUUUUUGUCCUGCCUUUUUCUGCUUUUCCUUGCCUCCGAGUUGGCUUUUAUUUCAGCUUUGUCGGUGGCGAAACGCGAAAUAUUUAAGAAGCCAGCAAGCGGCAGCGACAAUCACCGUUUGCAAUGCGAGCAACGUGAGGCUUAAAUAAAUGUGUCUCGAUUGGAAGGACGGGCCGAGUUGACAACAACGGGCCCCACCGAUAUUUAUCCUGCUGCAACGGCUCUGAGCCGUUUUCCCUCCGAUUCUGAGUUUUCUUCGGCCAUGGCUUUAGCUUUUGGCCUGGCUUUUGCUCAAUGGAGCUAGUAGAUCUAAUCAUCUACCGGCUCCAAAGGGGCCACAAUAAGUGCGGCGUGCAGGCGACAAAUUCGUGGUUCAACUCAACGGCUGGUAAACAGAGAGAAAAAUUAUG
Molecule: non-coding RNA, 422 nt
Organism: Drosophila melanogaster (fruit fly)
Lineage: Eukaryota; Metazoa; Arthropoda; Insecta; Diptera; Drosophilidae
Source: Ensembl